Ctenopharyngodon idella (grass carp) is the source of this 5034-nucleotide long non-coding RNA. RefSeq lists it as uncharacterized. NCBI's taxonomy places the organism in Eukaryota, Metazoa, Chordata, Actinopteri, Cypriniformes, Xenocyprididae. The transcript has 7 exons. The record is from RefSeq and is a predicted model, not a curated record.
UCCUUAAAUCAAGAUGCACUUUCUCUAAUAAAUAAUAAUUAAUUCAAAAAUAAUUAAUACAUUUUUAAUUAAAAAGUCUUCUUUUCUAAAACAAAUGCAUAAUUAAAUGCAAAACUGCAUUUAAAACAAGAAACAAUGGGGUAAAAAAAAUUAUUUUAAACAGAAAACAAGUUUAUUUUUCUUACACCAUUGGCAUAUAUUUUUUCCUGUUUUAAGCAUAAAGUUCAGUCACUUAAUUCUGAUUUUUUUUUCAGAAAACUUUAUAUCUUGUCAUUUAGCUAAUCAUGUAAAUAUAUCUAAAGGAUGUUUAGGUACUUUAUUUAAAGCCUUUAUAUAUAAAGCAUUAUAAAAGUAUUUAAUGCAUUAAUUAUGUUUUGUAAUGCACCUUAUAAUGAUCUCUUGAAUAAUUGUAACCACAGUUAUAAUAUUAUCUAUUAAUCAAACACAACUUUAGAAAGUAUAACGCACUAAAACACACGACAAACAACCAAUUUCAGAUGUUACAAAAAAUCUGCAAAUAAUGCAUUUUAACUUUGGUUACAAUUAUUUAUGAUAUAAUGUACAUUAUGAAAACCUUUAUAAUGCAUUAUACAUAUGUUACACAUGUUAAUGGUAUUUGUACUGGAAAACAAUAGAAUUAAUGAGCAGGAAAAUAAUGUUUUGCAGUAAAGUGAUAUCAGCUGCAAUUUGAUCAGCCAUUUUUACUCAAAAUAUAAUGCUAACUGGAUGCCACAUGUACAGUAUGCAUUCAGAUGAGUUGAUCAUAGCUAAUGUUUAUCAUUACAAAAUGCAUACUGUAUAUAGUAAGUAGUGAGGUAUUAAACUGGUUUGUGAGUGGUGUGUGAAUAAGGCGCAGGGCUUUGCACAACUGUUUGGUGAAUCGUCCCACAGAGACAAGCAGUCAGAGUUUGGCUGCCAUAUAAACCAACCCAAACAGCUGCCGGAGUGAGUCUGCUCCAAAAUAAACACAGCCGAACGGUCAGCGCUGCUUCCCAUAUACUGUAGGUCACAUGUGCGCAACAUGCUGGAAGAAGUUGAUCUGAAGUCAUGCCGUGAAGUGACAAAGUGUUGUUCUUCUUUUUAAAGUUAGAAUAAAUCUAUAUUUAUACGGAGACAAAGAGCGAUAUGUGUGUGACUCGACAGCAGUACUGUGGUUUUGAACAGCUAAAAAUGCCUCUCUGUGAAUACCAAACAAACAAUAUAACCUCAUAUUUCCAGAUAACAAUUUCAGAUCCAGUCAUGCUUGCAGAUUUAUCAUGGUCUCUUGCAAAUUGUGCAGUAUUUAUCUGUUCUUUUUGCUGUAGUAGCUUUUUGCACCAUCUAUUAAUGCCAGGAGAAUUUUCCAGCCAUGGAGCUGUGUUUUGCAAGUUUUAGUGUUUUAUAUUUUAAUAACUUUUCUAUAUUUUAGGUCGGAUUGGUGGAUAGAUGGAAGGAAUAUUCUACAUAUAAGUCACUAUUAUGCCUUUCAAACAAAUACUGUAAUUCUUUUGCAGUUCCUUAUUAAAUCACCAGCUAAUUUUGUUUCUCUCGGCGAGUGUUUUUAGGUAAAAAGUACAAAGAAUAGACAAAAAAAGUGAUUGUUCUUCUUUUCUCAGGCGUAAUUCCAAAGUUUCAUUGUAAAAUAGCACACACACACACACACACACACACACACACACACACACACACAAAGCAAAGGGCGCUUCAGGCAAAUUAUUGGCCAGCUAAAAAUAACCCUGGAUUGCUCAAUCAUAUUCUCCACAAGCUGUGAGAUAAAACGAAUGAUGAGAAAAUAGUCCACAGAUACAAAAGCCUGCUAAACCGUACAUGCACGGUUGGAUCCGUUUAAGUAUAAUUAAUCCUGAUCUGUAGGAGAAGCAAAGUUAAUGAAAAACAUCUGAGGACUGCUUUUUCUCUCACCGCUGAGCAAUAACAUGCUCCUCCCGUCUGGUUAGUCUGUGAUUUUGUCUCAGCCUUGGGUAAUAUUCAUUAAUGUCAAGACAUUUUUAGCUGGAAGAAUUAUUAUAUCAAUUAUUUACAAAUAACAAAGUAUGGAGGGGGAAAUGUGACAUUUACCGGUUUAAUAAUAUUUGUUUGCCUGCGAAACUCUUUUUUUUCUGUAGCUGUGUGCCACAGCAAAAGUUUAUUUCCUGUGAUUAAUAAUGGUAAGAGUAAUAAUGGUAACCCUUGCCCAAAGACAUUAGACACAAAAACUCAAUUACAGCAGCAGACUGUGGCCAAUGCCGCAGAGACUAUUAAUAAGAAAUGUAAUUAUUUUUACAUUAACUCUAAUACGCGACCCAUCCAAGAGUGAAUGAUUACUCAGGAACACAUAUGAGCUUGUGUUUUCGAGUAGUGUUUUUGAAAAGGUUGCUCUUUUCUGUUUCUUCCAGGCCUCAUGAGCAUCUCUGUCAGACACGAAAGAAUCCGCUUCAGCCGUGUCUUUCCAGCAAAGACAAAGAUGCUGCACUCAUAUUCCUAUGACUGGGCAACAUGGCCGCCGAGUCAAAUGACUAUCCUUAAAGGGACUUUGCUUUUGGUCUCUGUGCCCUUUAACCUGCCGUUAUAGAACAUUCAUGAGCCACUGCGUUAAGUCUGGAACGAAUGAACCAUCAGAUAGCGGAGAGAACGCGGAGUUCUGCCGCUGGGGAACACGGUUCAAUCCGAUUUGCAUGAGGGAUGGAAUAAAAGAUCUGUGGGAAGGAACUGCUAAUGUUUUACAGAACGUUAGGCAGUUCCGCACACAUGCAUGUGUUAAUACCUUCGUUUUUAAAGAUCCAGUGAGCUCGCUAUGAUAAACACCACGUAUAACGUGAGGCAUCUGUGAAAUAUGUUUGUCUGAGUCCCUAAUGAAAGAGGAUUAUUUGCAGUGUCGUCUGUGGAAGUAUUUCUUGAGGCUGGGCUCCGUGGAAGACUGCUUUAUGUCAUUAGUAGUCAUUGCUCACAGUCGGCACACGAGCCCCAGGGCACAGCGGCACGCGUUAAUUACUUCACUAAUGACCCUUUGUGAGAGAAUCAAGCUGUGGUUGUGGAGCUGUUCCCAAAUCUCUCUCCUCCCAUCAUUCCCUCCCCUUCAUUCCUCUCAUAUCUUGAACCUCUCCAUUGACCUGCUUCUUUCCUUCAACAGUUUUUAACCAUUUAAAGGGGACCUGAAAUGCUCUUUUUCAAAGUCACUGCUAGAAAGGUUUUCAUGAUUGAAUGUUCAAAAAAACGACUUCUGUCUUCCCAGUCUGUCAGUAACCCUCUUUUUAGUUCCUGUCUCUAUGAAGCCCCUCCUUCUGAAAAGCACAAUGUGCUCUGAUUGGUCGGCUGGAGCAGUGUGUUGUGAUUGGUGUUUGGGAAAUGUCCCGCCCCUUACCAUAACCGCCAGUUUCAACACACUACUAACUAACUCAACCAGGCCCCGCCCCUUUAUUCUGCGUAUGAAUUAUUUAAAUGAGGAAUAUUGUGAAGAAAACUCCAAUGGAGUUCAGAAACACUGACACUGAUAUAGAGAAGAACUCCUGCUGGAGGGACUUUGCAGAGCUUUUUCAUGCUCAAACAGCAACAUUACACACUAAAGAGAGUUGAACAUGGAAAAAAGCAUAAAAGGACCCCUUAAUUCAGGACUUUUGCACUCCAUUUUGAUGCUUGACAUCUCUGAUUUUUCAUGCACACACUGACAAAAAUUAACAAAAAAAUGUGUGGAGGAGAAAUGUGACAUUUACAGGUUUAAUAAUAUUAGUUUGCCUGUAAAACUUUUGUUUUUCUGCAUCUGUAGCCACGGUUUCCAUUUAGAUGCAAUGCACCAUGUUUGACAUCUCAGAUUUUUCAUGCACAAGCAGUGGGGAAAAAAUGUGCAGGAUUUACUUUUGAAACAAUUUUCACUUAGAAAUUGCCAGUGAAUUUAAUAAAUAUUCGCAAGGAAAUGGCAGGUAACACAUUUAACAAAUUGAAGAUGGAAAGACUGAAAUAGUAUUUUCUUGUACAACAUAUUUCAAUAAUCUUUUUUAUUUACAACCUUGAUAAAAUAAUUUUUUACAGCGCAUGGAAGAUGUCAGACCACCAAAGCUGAAGGCGCCAACUGAGCGAAGAAGAAUGGGUUUUUAAUCUAAAAUUUAUAUUUUAUUUCGAUUACUGAUUUACUGUAGUUUUAGUUAACAAUAACAACACUGAUAGACUGAAUCAUUUAAUCAGAUCUUGUGAUGUCCAGUUGCUUUUGGACCCAUCUCUUUCAUUUAAAUGCAAUGCACCAUGUUUGACGUCACAGAUUUUCCAUGCCCAUGAAAGAUGGCAAACCACCAGGACAGAAGGAGCCAGCUGAGCGACGGCCAUUGAGAAGAAUGGGAAUGCAAACUAUCAGUCUUAAAUAGAACAGUAGCGCCGUGCGGGUUGGAGACGAGAUUUUUAUUUUCGAACAAGCCGGCGAGGACUGCAAUUUUCUGCCGACUGAAUUUUCCAGACGCUAAUCAGACGCUACAGCCUAUGUCUGAUGGGAUGCAUUAAAGAACCCAAAGAUCAAGGUCAGAUGAAGCCACAAAACAAAAUUGAAUGGAGUAGCUGCAGAUGCUGGCUGAGAUCCAGAGAAGUGGAGAAACAUCUGAGACAACGUUGAUACCCACAUGAAACAUGACUCACUUCCUGAAGUUGGAUCAAGGAUUGCAGAAAGAGAAUGAAGAAUUGUAAGGAUUAUUCUGAUCUGAGAUGUCAGCGAGUCUUCAGGCUCACACUGCAUCUCCACACCCUCCAGCUCAACCCGACACACAACAACACUGACAGCUAUAUUUAUCCGAGGCCCUCCGGAUCUUCCCCAUUAGCCACCUCAGCGCCUGUGGCUUCUCUCCGGCAGCUCCUCACAGAUCACACACGCCUCGCAGGAACAGGAAGUCCAAGUGCUGGUACGUGUAGGCGACCCCGAUCUUGGUCUCCACCUGUGGUCUCUUGAGGGUGGAGUAAAUCUUUCCCGGACUGUUGUCUUCCGUCUGACGGAACUUCCUCAAGCCGCAGCCCAUUUCUGCCGAACGACUGCACACUAAAGCCUGGGAUCAGAGACACAGAGUUUAAACAAUGUCUUCA